Gongylonema pulchrum is the source of this 47-nucleotide non-coding RNA. The record is from Rfam. Lineage: Eukaryota; Metazoa; Nematoda; Chromadorea; Rhabditida; Gongylonematidae.
CAAACGGCCCUCUUUAGGGCCACAAACUAGUGAGUCAUGCUUUUCCU